RNAcentral lists this ribosomal RNA (781 nucleotides) under Microbacterium awajiense. Its description in RNAcentral is "bacterial SSU rRNA". It matches the Rfam family "Bacterial small subunit ribosomal RNA", at positions 672 to 1449 of the family's 1533-position model. Lineage: Bacteria; Bacillati; Actinomycetota; Actinomycetes; Micrococcales; Microbacteriaceae. The record is from RNAcentral.
GGUGUAGCGGUGGAAUGCGCAGAUAUCAGGAGGAACACCGAUGGCGAAGGCAGAUCUCUGGGCCGUAACUGACGCUGAGGAGCGAAAGGGUGGGGAGCAAACAGGCUUAGAUACCCUGGUAGUCCACCCCGUAAACGUUGGGAACUAGUUGUGGGGUCCAUUCCACGGAUUCCGUGACGCAGCUAACGCAUUAAGUUCCCCGCCUGGGGAGUACGGCCGCAAGGCUAAAACUCAAAGGAAUUGACGGGGACCCGCACAAGCGGCGGAGCAUGCGGAUUAAUUCGAUGCAACGCGAAGAACCUUACCAAGGCUUGACAUAUACGAGAACGCUGCAGAAAUGUAGAACUCUUUGGACACUCGUAAACAGGUGGUGCAUGGUUGUCGUCAGCUCGUGUCGUGAGAUGUUGGGUUAAGUCCCGCAACGAGCGCAACCCUCGUUCUAUGUUGCCAGCACGUAAUGGUGGGAACUCAUGGGAUACUGCCGGGGUCAACUCGGAGGAAGGUGGGGAUGACGUCAAAUCAUCAUGCCCCUUAUGUCUUGGGCUUCACGCAUGCUACAAUGGCCGGUACAAAGGGCUGCAAUACCGUGAGGUGGAGCGAAUCCCAAAAAGCCGGUCCCAGUUCGGAUUGAGGUCUGCAACUCGACCUCAUGAAGUCGGAGUCGCUAGUAAUCGCAGAUCAGCAACGCUGCGGUGAAUACGUUCCCGGGUCUUGUACACACCGCCCGUCAAGUCAUGAAAGUCGGUAACACCUGAAGCCGGUGGCCCAACCCUUGUGGAGG